GACGAACGCUGGCGGCGUGCUUAACACAUGCAAGUCGAACGGGAGUAUCGAAGAAGCUUGCUUUAGAGAUACUUUAGUGGCGGACGGGUGAGUAACGCGUGAGGAGCUGUCCAAUGCAGGGGGACAACAGUUGGAAACGACUGCUAAUACCCCAUAAGCCGAGAGGUAAAAGGAUUUAUCCGGCAGAGGAGGUACUCGCGUCCUAUCAGCUAGUAGGUGAGGUAACGGCUCACCUAGGCGAAGACGGGUAGCCGGCCUGAGAGGGCGAACGGCCACACUGGAACUGAGAUACGGUCCAGACUCCUACGGGAGGCAGCAGUGGGGAAUAUAGGGCAAUGGGGGGAACCCUGACCCAGCGACGCCGCGUGGGUGAAGAAAUCCCUCGGGAUGUAAAGCCCUGUUGUAUGGGAAGAGCAGAAGACGGUACCAUACGAGGAAGCCCCGGCAAACUACGUGCCAGCCGCCGCCGUAA
RNAcentral lists this ribosomal RNA (472 nucleotides) under uncultured bacterium. RNAcentral describes it as "partial 16S ribosomal RNA". It matches the Rfam family "Bacterial small subunit ribosomal RNA", at positions 28 to 523 of the family's 1533-position model. The record is from RNAcentral.